Molecule: microRNA precursor, 96 nt
Filed under: Prunus dulcis (almond)
Lineage: Eukaryota; Viridiplantae; Streptophyta; Magnoliopsida; Rosales; Rosaceae
Description: sRNA ncRNA
Source: RNAcentral
AUAUAUAUAUAUAUAGAGUCCUGAUUUCUUGGACUACAGGGGUGACCACAAUCUCUUGGACUCUUAUGGUCCAAGAGAUCGGGACUGUAUAUAUAU